UACGUAGGGGGCGAGCGUUGUCCGGAUUUAUUGGGCGUAAAGAGCUCGUAGGCGGUUUGGUAAGUCGGGUGUGAAAUCUCCACGCUCAACGUGGAGGGGCCACUCGAUACUGCCAUGACUCGAGUCCGGUAGAGGAGUGUGGAAUUCCCGGUGUAGCGGUGAAAUGCGCAGAUAUCGGGAGGAACACCCGUAACGAAGGCGGCACUCUGGGCCGGAACUGACGCUGAGGAGCGAAAGCGUGGGGAGCAAACAGG
This 254-nucleotide ribosomal RNA is filed under the name uncultured bacterium. RNAcentral's name for it is "partial 16S ribosomal RNA". It matches the Rfam family "Bacterial small subunit ribosomal RNA", at positions 524 to 776 of the family's 1533-position model. The record is from RNAcentral.